RNAcentral lists this ribosomal RNA (484 nucleotides) under uncultured bacterium. RNAcentral describes it as "partial 16S ribosomal RNA". It matches the Rfam family "Bacterial small subunit ribosomal RNA", at positions 30 to 507 of the family's 1533-position model. The record is from RNAcentral.
AUUGAACGCUGGCGGCAGGCCUAACACAUGCAAGUCGAGCGGAUGAAGGGAGCUUGCUCCUGGAUUCAGCGGCGGACGGGUGAGUAAUGCCUAGGAAUCUGCCUGGUAGUGGGGGAUAACGUCCGGAAACGGGCGCUAAUACCGCAUACGUCCUGAGGGAGAAAGUGGGGGAUCUUCGGACCUCACGCUAUCAGAUGAGCCUAGGUCGGAUUAGCUAGUUGGUGGGGUAAAGGCCUACCAAGGCGACGAUCCGUAACUGGUCUGAGAGGGUGAUCAGUCACACUGGAACUGAGACACGGUCCAGACUCCUACGGGAGGCAGCAGUGGGGAAUAUUGGACAAUGGGCGAAAGCCUGAUCCAGCCAUGCCGCGUGUGUGAAGAAGGUCUUCGGAUUGUAAAGCACUUUAAGUUGGGAGGAAGGGCAGUAAGUUAAUGCCUUGCUGUUUUGACGUUACCAACAGAAUAAGCACCGGCUAACUUCGUG